This is a non-coding RNA of Odocoileus virginianus texanus, 2606 nucleotides long. NCBI's taxonomy places the organism in Eukaryota, Metazoa, Chordata, Mammalia, Artiodactyla, Cervidae. The record is from RefSeq and is a predicted model, not a curated record.
AUUGCCAUGCAGUUAUUCCACUUCUUUUUUUCUUAUUUGCAGAAAACUACGGCAAUCAUGAAUUUAAUCAUAUAUUUACAUUUGUAAAAGUCUGAAAUGGUCUUGUAGACAAUUUGUAGAAUUCUGUAUCUUUUCAAGUGUCCGUGUUGAUAGUUGGUCUUCUGGAGGAGGAAACAGAGAGCUUUCAUAGCCCCAACCACUCAGUUUGGAAGCUUCUUCACACUCUGAGACUUAGAACUCACGAAGAGAAACAGAGGGAAAAUUAGAAGUUUGGACCUUGGGGUGUCAGCUUGACUACUUCCUUGUAUUCUCACCUGGGUCACAAGGCCAACACAGUUCUCACUGUGCCAAAAUCAAGAUGUGAGCAACCUCUAGGGGAAAAUUCAUUUCCUGCUCUUUCCGGCCUCUAAAGCUGCCUGCGUUCUUUGGUUGGUGCUUUUUCCUCCCACUUCGAAACCAGCAACAUGGUAUCUGACAGUGCAUCUGUUGUCACAUCUCUGCCUCUGACUCUCCUCUUCUUCCACUUUUAAGAGCCUUUGUGAUGACAUUAGAGCCACCCACAUAGUCUAGGAAAAUCUCCUUAAUUUAAGCAGCUGAUUAACAGCCUUAAUUUUACUGCAACUUCAGUUCCCCCUUUGUCAUGUAACCUAAUUCACAGGUUUGGGCGCAUUAGGACAUCCAAUGGGAGAAUAUUUUUCAGAUGCCACUAUUUUGCCCACUGCAGCGACAGUAGGUGAGAAUUACUUAAGUAAGUGUGAUAAUAUAAAGUCAGUUGAUAAAUCCACUUAGGAAAACUUGAAUUAAAGUUUUAACUUCACUUCCAGAUUAUGGGAUGAUUUAAUAGCUCAUUUUAAAUAGCAUGCAGACAUGCUUUUAAUAAUAUUCCCUAGAAAUUUACUUAAAAAAUUUUGAGACUAUAAUUGAUUUUUAAGUUUCUUUUUCUGUCUCACAAAUAAGCAUAUAUAAAGAUAACAAUGUUUAAUAACAGAAAAUCUCCUGUUCUGCCCUUCUCCCUUUAGCUUCUUCCAAUGUAUAUAGACUCUGAUGAAGAAAAACAAUAGGUUUAUGGAAGGAAAGAACAUUUCCUUCAACAAGCAAACAAAGAAAAAUGGGAUAGAGAAAAGCUGCCCAUGAACUGCAAGAAAUCAGAGUGGAACUGGAAUAAACCCAGAAAAAUGUGGAACUUACACAUGGUCAUCCCAAUGCAGCAGUGUCCCCACAGAAGAUGAGUUCCUGGGAUUUGGACAAGAGAGAAUAGACAAGCUUGGAAAUGUCAUCCUUUCUCAUGACUUUAGAGUAACCAAAAUGAUUUUUAACAGCAUUAAUUUUUAGCCUUUAAGUAAAUAUCUUUCUGAUAUUUUAUUUCGUAAUGCAGAACAGUGUAUUAAAAAAAUUGAAACCACCACAUUGCUUGACUCCAUAAGCAAUACAUUUGAAAGCAUUUAUUUCAUGGCUACCCGAAUAUAUAUAUGCUGUUUUCUUUUACAGAUCUACUUUUUUUUCUCUCAAAGGACUUUUGAAAAAUCACUUCACAAUGUCACGUUGAGAGGUAGGUUCCGGUUGUUAGGUAAAGCAUAUUAUCUGGAUAAGUAACUAAAUUCAUACUGUACCACAGCUUGAGAAUCUUCAAAACUAUAUCUUUGAAUGUGAAAAUCUAUUCUCUCUGAUUUUUGUAGAAAACAGUCAGAUGUGUAUCUUUUAAUUUAGAGUUCUACCAAAUCACUGGUUAUAUUAAUAACUAAGACACACACACACACACACACACACACACAGAUACUCACACACAUGUUUUCUUAGGCUGGAACAUGUUGCCUAAGACUAGAGUUUUUAUUUUUCAUUCUUUCCAGCAUCUGGUAGCUUAGAAUCAUACACACAGCAAGUAUAUAAAACACACUCAAUGAAGACUCAACCAUAAUGUCCCACUAGGUUCACAAUCCAGCAUCUAAAUUUAUUUUUUAGGUAAAAUAAAAUGCUUCCUAAACCUAACUUUACAUGAGAGACAUUUUCUUUUCACUCUUUUUAUUUAGAAAAAAAUUUGAUAACAUUUAUAUGUAAGAAGCAUAUAUCUUAAACAGACCUUCUUUUGAUUAAAAGGGAAACAAUAACUCCUUUUAUCUUAAUACGAUGACUUGUCUGCAUUAGGUCUAAGAAAGAAAAAACAAACAAACACACAAUUAUGUUUAUUUCCAGUGGGACUGGACAAAAUCAGAAUGAUGGAGCAUCUAAGCCAAAAACAGUAAACUUCUUAAUCAAGAUUAUCCCUUAAGACUACAGAAAGACUGAGAGGACAUUUCAUUUGUAUUCUCUUCUUCCCACAUCCCCGCACCAUGAUUGGUAUUAUAACUGAUCUUCAAUUACUAAUGUUAUUAUUGAUUUUCAGUGAUGAAACUUAAUCAUUAGUUGUCUUACAAAUUGCCAUUAGUUCCCUUGCUAUAUUUAAUUUUUAAAAUUCUUUUCAGUAUAAUGAAUAUUUACUUUAUUCUUCCUAUCACAGCCUUUUCAGAUUUACUUCUUUGAAAUAUUCUCAUCUGUAAGUAGCAUCCUAGUUAUAACAUUAACUGUUAUGAAUGUUUUCUAUCUUGGAACUGUACAUAUUUAUUUCUGUU